GUUUGAUCCUGGCUCAGAACGAACGCUGGCGGCGUGCCUAACACAUGCAAGUCGAGCGCGAAUGGGGGCAACCCCUAGUAGAGCGGCGCACGGGUGCGUAACACGUGGGUAAUCUGCCUAGAAGACCGGGACAACCUUCCGAAAGGAUGGCUAAUACCGGAUAAGCCUACGGGGUCCUCGGACCCUGAAGGAAAAGGUGGCCUCUGUAUACAAGCUAUCACUUCUAGAUGAGCCCGCGGCCCAUCAGCUAGUUGGCGGGGUAACGGCCCACCAAGGCAACGACGGGUAGCUGGUCUGAGAGGACGAUCAGCCACACUGGAACUGAGACACGGUCCAGACUCCUACGGGAGGCAGCAGUGGGGAAUUUUGCACAAUGGGCGAAAGCCUGAUGCAGCAACGCCGCGUGUGUGAUGAAGGUCUUCGGAUUGUAAAGCACUUUCGACCGGGACGAAACCGGGUUGGCUAACAUCCAGCCCCUUGACGGUACCGGGAGAAGAAGCACCGGCUAACUCUGUGCCAGCAGCCGCGGUAA
Molecule: ribosomal RNA, 532 nt
Filed under: uncultured Archangiaceae bacterium
Lineage: Bacteria; Pseudomonadati; Myxococcota; Myxococcia; Myxococcales; Archangiaceae
Description: bacterial SSU rRNA
Rfam family: Bacterial small subunit ribosomal RNA
Source: RNAcentral